UUGCUCAGAUAUGACGAUGGACAUUGCAAAGAGUGGCGAACGGGCUGAGUAACACGUGGGAAACCUACCUCUUAGCAGGGGAUAACAUUUGGAAACAGAUGCUAAUACCGUAUAACAAUGACAACCGCAUGGUUGUUAUUUAAAAGAUGGUUCUGCUAUCACUAAGAGAUGGUCCCGCGGUGCAUUAGCUAGUUGGUAAGGUAAUGGCUUACCAAGGCGAUGAUGCAUAGCCGAGUUGAGAGACUGAUCGGCCACAAUGGGACUGAGACACGGCCCAUACUCCUACGGGAGGCAGCAGUAGGGAAUCUUCCACAAUGGGCGAAAGCCUGAUGGAGCAACGCCGCGUGUGUGAUGAAGGGUUUCGGCUCGUAAAACACUGUUGUAAGAGAAGAAUGACAUUGAGAGUAACUGUUCAAUGUGUGACGGUAUCUUACCAGAAAGGAACGGCUAAAUACGUGCCAGCAGCCGCGGUAAUACGUAUGUUCCAAGCGUUAUCCGGAUUUAUUGGGCGUAAAGCGAGCGCAGACGGUUAUUUAAGUCUGAAGUGAAAGCCCUCAGCUCAACUGAGGAAUUGCUUUGGAAACUGGAUGACUUGAGUGCAGUAGAGGAAAGUGGAACUCCAUGUGUAGCGGUGAAAUGCGUAGAUAUAUGGAAGAACACCAGUGGCGAAGGCGGCUUUCUGGACUGUAACUGACGUUGAGGCUCGAAAGUGUGGGUAGCAAACAGGAUUAGAUACCCUGGUAGUCCACACCGUAAACGAUGAGUGCUAGGUGUUUGAGGGUUUCCGCCCUUAAGUGCCGCAGCUAACGCAUUAAGCACUCCGCCUGGGGAGUACGACCGCCAAGGUUGAAACUCAA
Molecule: ribosomal RNA, 857 nt
Filed under: uncultured bacterium
Lineage: Bacteria
Description: bacterial SSU rRNA
Rfam family: Bacterial small subunit ribosomal RNA
Source: RNAcentral